Acomys russatus (golden spiny mouse) is the source of this 188-nucleotide small nucleolar RNA. RefSeq annotates it as small nucleolar RNA SNORA55. The transcript has a single exon. The record is from RefSeq and is a predicted model, not a curated record. NCBI's taxonomy places the organism in Eukaryota, Metazoa, Chordata, Mammalia, Rodentia, Muridae.
GCACUUGAAUCUAUCCCACUUGUGCUGCUUGGUGCUGCAUCGUGAGCAGAGGCUGUGCAGACGGGCAUGCUUUCCUUUCGUCUUGAUGCUGCUGUGGGGACAAACAGCUCUGCAUCGUGAGCAGAGGCUGUCCAGACGGCAUGCUUUCCCUUCAUCUUGGUGCUUCUUCCUACAGCUCUGCCACACUU